GACGAACGCUGGCGGCGUGCUUAACACAUGCAAGUCGAACGGUGAGGCCCUACCUUUGUUCGGUGCUCGAGUGGCGAACGGGUGAGUAACACGUAAGUAACCUGCCCUUGACUUUGGGAUAACUUCUGGAAACUAUAGCUAAUACCGGAUAGGAGCACCUGCUGCAUGGUGGCUACUGGAAAGGUUCGACUGCAUGGGAUGGAGUUGCGGCUUCGCAGCAUUUUGGUGGGGUAGUGGCUUACAAACGCCUUGGCGGGUGGCCGGACUGAGAGGGUGACAGGGCACAUUGGGAUUGAGAUGCGGGCCAGACUGCUACGGGAGGAAGCAGUGGGGGAUAGUGCAAGAUGGGCGGAGGGAUGAUGGAGCAACUCCGGAUGCGAGAGGACGGCUUUCGGGUUGUAAACCGUUUUCGACUGUGACGAAGCGUGAGUGACGGUAAUGUGUAAAGAAGCACCGGCUAACUACGUG
RNAcentral lists this ribosomal RNA (468 nucleotides) under uncultured bacterium. RNAcentral describes it as "partial 16S ribosomal RNA". It matches the Rfam family "Bacterial small subunit ribosomal RNA", at positions 28 to 507 of the family's 1533-position model. The record is from RNAcentral.